AAUUAUUAAAAAGCGCCAGGACUCAUAAUGAGAAUAAUUAUGAGUUGACGAGGAUGGGGAGUAUCGAAUCUUCGGCGGAUGCCCCGCGGUAGCGCACUACCGUUAAUGAUUGAUAAAAGCGAAAAGUGAUUUUCGUGACAAGAUCAAUCUGGUGUUAAAA
Molecule: non-coding RNA, 160 nt
Filed under: Clostridium estertheticum
Lineage: Bacteria; Bacillati; Bacillota; Clostridia; Eubacteriales; Clostridiaceae
Description: GlcN6P sequence
Rfam family: glmS glucosamine-6-phosphate activated ribozyme aptamer
About the family: This entry contains a glucosamine-6-phosphate activated ribozyme that is found in the mRNA for GlmS. GlmS is an enzyme that uses fructose-6-phosphate and glutamine to generate glucosamine-6-phosphate.
Source: RNAcentral